RNAcentral lists this ribosomal RNA (43 nucleotides) under Cunninghamella echinulata. RNAcentral's name for it is "partial 28S ribosomal RNA". The record is from RNAcentral. Lineage: Eukaryota; Fungi; Mucoromycota; Mucoromycetes; Mucorales; Cunninghamellaceae.
CUGAAAUCAGAUGGGACUACCCGCUGAACUUAAGCAUAUCAAU